Hypoxylon crocopeplum is the source of this 103-nucleotide non-coding RNA. NCBI's taxonomy places the organism in Eukaryota, Fungi, Ascomycota, Sordariomycetes, Xylariales, Hypoxylaceae. The record is from the annotation of a GenBank genome assembly.
GGUCCCAUAGCUCAGUUGGUUAGAGCGUCGUACUAAUAUUGCAAUUACCUACUACAAUAUGGAGUAAAUGCGAAGGCCGAGAGUUCGAGCCUCUCUGGGACCA